This 408-nucleotide ribosomal RNA is filed under the name uncultured bacterium. RNAcentral describes it as "partial 16S ribosomal RNA". It matches the Rfam family "Bacterial small subunit ribosomal RNA", at positions 28 to 526 of the family's 1533-position model. The record is from RNAcentral.
GACGAACGCUGGCGGCGUGCUUAACACAUGCAAGUCGAACGAAGUGGCGAACGGGUGAGUAACGCGUAAUCAACCUGCCCUUCAGAGGGGGACAACAGUUGGAAACGACUGCUAAUACCGCAUACUGAAGGAGGGGAUUGCGUCUGAUUAGCUCGUUGGGGGGGUAACGGCCGACCAAGGGGAUGAUCAGUUGCCGGUCUGAGGGGAUGAACGGCCAAAUUGGGACUGAGGAAAGGCCCAAACUGCUACGGGAGGCAGCAGUGGGGAAUCUUCCGCAAUGGACGAAAGGCUGGCGGCGCAACGCCGCGUGAGGGAUGACGGCCUUCGGGUUGUAAAGCUCUGUUAAUCGGGACGCGGUACCGGAAUAGAAAGCCACGGCUAACUACGUGCCAGCCGCCGCGGUAAUUC